AUAAUACUCCAUAGUUCAUGGAAUCUGGAAUGAUCCAUGGAUGAAAGUUCCGGCGCUUAAGGAUCGGUCUGCGGCCUAUCAGGUCGUAGUGGGUGUAACGUACCUACUAGCCUAUGACGGGUAUGGGCCUUGAGAGAGGGAGCCCAGAGUUGGAUUCUGAGACACGAAUCCAGGCCCUACGGGGCGCAGCAGUCGCGAAAACUUCACAAUGGGGGCAACCCCGAUGAGGGAAUUCCUAAUGCUAGCACAUUUGUGUUAGCUUUUCUUUAGCGUAGAUAACUAGAGGAAUAAGGGCUGGGAAAGACGGGUGCCAGCCGCCGCGGUAAUACCUGCAGCCCAAGUGGUGGUCGAGUUUAUUGAGUCUAAAACGUUCGUAGCCGGUUCGGUAAAUCUUUGGGUAAAUCGGGGGGCUUAACCUUCCGACUUCCGAGGAGACUGCCGAACUUGGGACCGGGAGAGGCUAGAGGUACUUCUGGGGUAGGGGUAAAAUCCUGUAAUCCUAAAAGGACCACCGGUGGCGAAGGCGUCUAGCUAGAACGGAUCCGACGGUGAGGGACGAAGCCCUGGGUCGCAAACGGGAUUAGAUACCCCGGUAGUCCAGGGUGUAAACGCUGCAGACUUGGUGU
Molecule: ribosomal RNA, 626 nt
Filed under: uncultured archaeon
Lineage: Archaea
Description: bacterial SSU rRNA
Rfam family: Archaeal small subunit ribosomal RNA
Source: RNAcentral